AUCUUGAAGGCAUUGCAAUGGAGCCCAAGGAGAAUGAAAGAGCCGCAUGUACUUUGUGAGAUCUCUCUGUUCAGUUGUGCUGUGUAGAAUCCACUAUUUUCUCCUCCCUUAAGAAAAUCUUGGGUGUGUUCCAUAACUUCCUGGUCACAUUUGGUAAUUAAAACUUAGUGUGGCUUAAUUUAAACCCUUAAUUGCAUGUCCAAUUUACAGCUAGAGCUGUGACUCUGACUGUUUAGAAAGAGGAUGGGGGGGCAAGAUCUGGCUCUGGAUCAACCCUGUCCCCUUCUUCCUCUGGACCUGGCCAGGCAGCUGCCUGGAGGAGGGCUAGGGACCCAGGAGAAUCCUUCCUUAAAUGUCCACUUGCUCUCGCGAGGGCUUGUUCAGAACCCCCCUGGGUGCAUGUACGUACCAGUUGUGUGUGUGGGCUUUUUAACUUUCCCCACCCUGCCCAAUUCAGCCUUGUGUGCCAUGAGCCCUCUGUGGACAACCGAGGUCUUGACGUGGGGACUACUGAAGAAAUAAUCCCAUGGCUCCGGCACCUCCACCAAGAUCUGGGCUCCUUCAGGUGGCGCUGGUGAAAGGCUGGGGUCCCCUUUCCCACCGCCCAGCAGGAAGAAAACCAGAUGGGCUGUGGGUCCUCCUGCCAUUCCCAGGUGUUUCUCAGUUCUCACACUCACACCUCAGACGUUUGUAGGCUGAAGGUCGCAGACUGCAUAUUCCUCUGUGCUUUGUCCAGCUCAGGGCUACCCGUUGAGGCCCCCCUAGAACUCUGGCACCCAUUCUUCUGCGGAGACAUCCUGAGGGAAGGUCUGACAGCUUUGGAAGUUCAGGAAGGCCUCCGAUUAAAGAAUGAGAUGCUGAUUUCCCUUGACUGCAAGUAGCCCGGGCAUCACAGAUGACUCCUGCAGAGCCGGAAACAUACCCUCCCCUGCCCCUUGGCGAGGGGUGAGACCAGGCUGGUACAGUGCAUGGUAAUUCCCACGCGGCCCUUGCUUGGCACCACUCCCGCCUUCUCUAGACUGCAGAGGGCCUGGGAGCAUGCUACUUGGUGGUGGGGGACCAUCCUGCUGCCUCUCGGUCACCCUAAAGGAUAGUGUCUGGUCCUAAUGCACAACGGCUUCCUUACUGGUCUGGUUAGAACAUAAAGGCAUCUCAGUUUCCGGUGGUAUUAAAGACGGUGUUACACUACCACGACUGGACGUGACUGGAAGUGACUUGUUUGGGAGAAAAAUGUGGUUCCAAAAAAUGUACGUUUAUGGAAAAUUAGAGCGCAGAAACAGAAGUGAGCUUCCUUCCGAAGUCAUGGGCACAGAGCCACAGGACAGAUAAAGUUAGAAUCAUGGAGAAAAUGUUGUAUCCCAUGCCUGCUUGUUCUGAAUUCAGCUACGGACUUAGAGCCAAAGUAUCUUUGGGUCAUUCCAUCUAGGGUCCUGGGUCAUCCGCGCAUCCCCCCUUUCUUCCGCCCUUCACGGUCCAGCCGGGGUGUUAGUACCCACAUGGCUCUGACGCAGGGUUUUAAUUAGACCAUCCCAAGGUCGAUCGCACCAGAAACACCUGGGGUGUCAGGUACCCCAGGUCAAUCGGAUUAAAAUUUGAGAACCUAAUGAGAAGUUAAAGUUGGUGAACCUCGGGGCUACACUGCAAACUGCAGUGGGCCGCCUUCUCACCGAUGAAGUCAGCAGUCAGCUCCUCAGUGACACCUUCCCAGGCAUGACUGGCCUCACAAAGAACCUUCUCUUAGAUGGGCCUGACAUCUCUUAUCCACUUGCAAACUUGAACAUGCACAUCUCAAUAAAGUAAGCCAGAGCUCCCAUCCUGGCUCAGGGGAACUGACCCGACUAGGAUCUGUGAGGAUGCGGGUUUGACCCCCUGGCCUCGAUCAGUGGGUCAUGGAUCCAGCAUUGCCGUGAGCUGUGGCGGAGACUGAAGACAUGGCUUGGACCCUGCUUUGCUGUGGCUGUGGUGGAGGCCGGCAGCUGUAGCUCCAAUUCAACCCCUCGCCUGGAAACAUCCAUAUGCCCCAAGUGUGGCCCUAAAAAAAUGAGUGAAUGAAUGAAUGAAUGAAUGAAUAAAGUGAGUCUACAAGUGUUCACUCAGCUUUUUCAUGUGCAUUCGAGAGUUCAAAUCCAAAGUAAGCUGACUUCCUGACAAGUGCCUCAUACUGCCCAGUAGCUAGGAUUCCCUCACCACCUGAAAUUACUGUUUAUUUAUUUGUUGGGGGCUCAUUAUCCACCUUCGCAGACCUAAAUAUAAAAUCUUUGAUAUGAAGAACCUUGCCUGCCUGUUCACUGCGGUCCCAGCUCCUGGAUUGGUAGCCGGCUUGUAAAAAGCAGGCAGUUAGCCCCUGCUAAUGACUCAAUGAGUCAUAUAAAUAGUAUGUGAGUAGAACACAAAUUGUGCCAACAGCAUCAGGAGGCAUGGACAUGGGUUAGGGAAUCACAGUGGACUGGAGAAUGGAUGGGGUUAAUUUCAGACACAGCCCUCAAGGUAGCACCGUGAGCUGAAAUCUGAGAAGCUUCUGAAAGGCAUAGAGAAUCGAAGGUAGGAACUGGAUCCUGGCCUCUGGGGACUAGUUCAGGCAGAGGCCUUGAGGCAGAUGUUGAGAAACGGGUUCUGAAAAACAAGAAGCCCAGCUGUGCUGGAGCAGAGAGACCCUGGGGAGAAGCGACACGUGAAAGGGGCCCCAGGGCAGGGCAGGUAGAAGCAAGUUGGACUCAGUGGUCAGAAGGUUCUGUUCGGUCCAGAUGGUAACAGGAAGCCACUGGAGGGCCAUGUUUACACAUUUUCAAAAUCCAAUUAGGAUACCACAUGUUUUUAUGUUCUAAUCACCCAUUCUGGGCCCAUUAAAUAAAUUAGUUG
RNAcentral lists this long non-coding RNA (2859 nucleotides) under Sus scrofa (pig). RNAcentral describes it as "lncRNA (ENSSSCG00030053169.1)". The record is from RNAcentral. Lineage: Eukaryota; Metazoa; Chordata; Mammalia; Artiodactyla; Suidae.